RNAcentral lists this ribosomal RNA (406 nucleotides) under uncultured bacterium. RNAcentral's name for it is "partial 16S ribosomal RNA". It matches the Rfam family "Bacterial small subunit ribosomal RNA", at positions 29 to 526 of the family's 1533-position model. The record is from RNAcentral.
AUUGAACGCUGGCGGCAGGCCUAACACAUGCAAGUCGAACGAGUGGCGGACGGGUGAGUAAUGGCUGGGAAACUGCAUGAUGGAGGGGGAUAACUACGGGAAACGGUAGCUAAUACCGCCUACCAUCGGAUGUGCCCAGAUGGGAUUAGCUAGUAGGUGGGGUAACGGAUCACCUAGGCGGCGAGCCCUAGCUGGUCUGAGAGGAUGACCAGCCACACUGGAACUGAGACACGGUCCAGACUCCUACGGGAGGCAGCAGUGGGGAAUAUUGCACAAUGGGCGCAAUCCUGACGCAGCCAGGCCGCUUGUAUGAAGAAGGCCUUCGGGUUGUAAAGUACUGUCAGCGGGGAGGCGUUACCCGCAGAAGAAGCACCGGCUAACUCCGUGCCAGCAGCCGCGGUAAUUC